Molecule: long non-coding RNA, 319 nt
Organism: Mustela lutreola (European mink)
Lineage: Eukaryota; Metazoa; Chordata; Mammalia; Carnivora; Mustelidae
Exons: 4
Source: RefSeq, a predicted model, not a curated record
AAGGCCAGCAAGAGGCAGAGCCAGUCUGCUAGCAACACAGUCUUAUAAAGAGUUGUGUUGGGAGCUGUGACUAUGGACCUACAAGGUUGUAUUUCAUGUGGAUUUAGGUAUGAUGUGCUGUAGCAACAUGACGUCUUGAUUAGGUGCCUUGUGAGAACGUACUACUCUGAUCUGAGGCCAAUAACCAGUUGCCACAUUUAUUUUAAUGCUUUGGGGAAUGAAAAAAAAGAUGUCUUUUUUUCCCAUAUAAUAGCAUUGCAUUCUAGUCCAUUCUACAUGGAGCUAUUUGCUAUAAGAGUUCAAGUUUAUUUUUUUUUCC